GGGUUGUGAGGUUAAGCGACUAAGCGUACACGGUGGAUGCCCUGGCAGUCAGAGGCGAUGAAGGGCGUGCUAAUCUGCGAUAAGCGCCGGUAAGGUGAUAUGAACCGUUAUAACCGGCGAUACCCGAAUGGGGAAACCCAGUGUGACUCGUCACACUAUCAUUAACUGAAUCCAUAGGUUAAUGAGGCGAACCGGGGGAACUGAAACAUCUAAGUACCCCGAGGAAAAGAAAUCAACCGAGAUUCCCCCAGUA
RNAcentral lists this ribosomal RNA (253 nucleotides) under Salmonella enterica. RNAcentral describes it as "partial 23S ribosomal RNA". It matches the Rfam family "Bacterial large subunit ribosomal RNA", at positions 1 to 245 of the family's 2925-position model. Lineage: Bacteria; Pseudomonadati; Pseudomonadota; Gammaproteobacteria; Enterobacterales; Enterobacteriaceae. The record is from RNAcentral. RNAcentral also lists the same sequence under 1 other name.